Molecule: long non-coding RNA, 347 nt
Organism: Trematomus bernacchii (emerald rockcod)
Lineage: Eukaryota; Metazoa; Chordata; Actinopteri; Perciformes; Nototheniidae
Exons: 4
Source: RefSeq, a predicted model, not a curated record
GCACCCACCCACCACCACACCAGGCUUCCAGCACCCACCCACCACCACACCAGGUUCAAAUUAUGCUGGAACCAUCACGCCAAAUCCCACCAAUGCGGCAGCCACGUAAAAGAGACAAAACAAUGAAAGAUUGCUCUCACAACCAUCUCGAGGUGUUCCCUGUCCGCAAAAUAAUAAAGACAAGGAACCGAAAGGGGGGGACGGAGCACCUUUAUGACUGGGAGCCCUGCACCAUUUGUGGUAUGUCCUGGCCUCCAUCCUGGCAAGCAGCCUGAUUCCCACCCCAUGCAAAUCCCAUUGCCAAACAAAACAAUAAAUGUUUUGGUGUUUGUAUGGAAUUAAUAAAG